Molecule: long non-coding RNA, 1484 nt
Filed under: Homo sapiens (human)
Lineage: Eukaryota; Metazoa; Chordata; Mammalia; Primates; Hominidae
Description: HSALNT0383703
Source: RNAcentral
UACACAUAUCUAUUCUGAAAUGACUGAAUGAAUAUCUUCAGUCAUUGACUAGAUUUGUAUAAGGCAAUAACAGCAGUGACAAGAACACAAUGACAUUUUAUUUUUUUAAGGAAUGGACUCAUGAUUUUGGGGUCUGACAAGUACAAAAUCUGUAGCAUGCUGUAAAUUCAGGUAAAUACUGAUCUUACAACAGUCUUGAGUCUGAAUUCUGCAGGGCAGCCUUUAGAAACUCAGGCACGCUUUCCAUGUUACAGUCUUGAGAAUUUGUUCUUCCUCUGGAAACCUGUCUUUACUCGUGAGGUCUUCAGAACAGACCAGAGAAUGGGCUCUGUAAAAUGGUGAGGAUGGAAAGAAGAAACCAAUCUGCUGUGCACCUGUGUAUAGAGCAUCCGGCAGUUCUAGGUGCAAUGUUUUAAGGGGAAGACUUACACUAUGAAGCUAGCCCAGAAGAGGGUGACUAGAGUACUGAGGAGUUUCUACCUGGAAGGGCUGUAAGGAAGACAACUGCUAUGUUGUGAGCGGCUCUAUGGAGAGGCCCAUGUGGAGGGAAGUGAGGAAGGCCUCUGGCCAACAGUCCAGGAGGAAGUGAAGCCCUCAGUCCAACAGCCUGUGUGGAACUGAACCCUGCAAACAACUCUGUGUGUGAGCUUGGAAGUGGAUCCAUAUUCAGUCAAACCUUGAGAUGGGACACCAUGCUCUGCUAACACUUGAUUGUGGUCCCAGCUAGGCCACUGCUGAAGUCUUGACUCAGAGAAACGAUGAUAUAGUAAAUGUUUGUUGUUUCAAGUUGGUAAGUUUUGGGAUAAUUUUUUAUAUAGUGAUAAUUUUUUAUAUACUUUAAAAUAACACAUUGCCCUAUCCUUUGGUUACACUUUUCUCUUGGAACUCUGCUUGCCCAUAUAUUACAGAAAUAUUUUUCAGAUCAUGGGCUGAAAGGUGGAUUAUGGAUGCAAUGUUUAAAUUUAGCAAUGUCAUUUAUGACUGUUCAUAUGAGCUUUGCUGCAUAAAAUGUUGAUAUUAAUUUGUUUCCCUUUAAGACAUUCUUAAUGUUUACCUCUCAGUAUUUUCUUUGUAAUCAAUUAAUGUAAGAUGAAUAUAGUUUGUAGGUUUUACCUUUCUUGAUUCGUAUACAAAACACACAACAUCCAACCAUUGUUAUUUAAAGAUUAUCUAGGAGGAGAUGAUGGAAACUCUGUUUUGGGCCACCUUCUUUACACAUUGGGUCUAUUUCCCCUAACUUGAGUAUAUAUUAAACUAGUGGGGGAUUGAGCUACAAAAAUGCUACUUGGUGAGAAUUUUAUUAAUACAAAUACUCAACUCUGAAGUUACGUUUUUGUGGAAAGUUAUCACUUUGGAAUUUGAAUUUUCUUGGAGCUAAGCCACUGGUAGUUGUAAAAGCUACACCUGUAAAUUUGCUCCCUAGAAGAUACUUUCGUUUAGUGACCACUUGUUUCUCUGUGGAUAAAUUCAAUUAUAAAUUACAA